RNAcentral lists this transfer RNA (58 nucleotides) under Fissidens subbasilaris. RNAcentral describes it as "partial tRNA-Leu". The record is from RNAcentral. Lineage: Eukaryota; Viridiplantae; Streptophyta; Bryopsida; Dicranales; Fissidentaceae.
UACGGACUAAAAUCCGUUGGCUUUAUUGACCGUGAGGGUUCAAGUCCCUCUACCCCCA